Molecule: ribosomal RNA, 431 nt
Filed under: uncultured bacterium
Lineage: Bacteria
Description: partial 16S ribosomal RNA
Rfam family: Bacterial small subunit ribosomal RNA
Source: RNAcentral
AACGAACGCUGGCGGCAGGCUUAACACAUGCAAGUCGAGCGCACCGCAAGGUGAGCGGCAGACGGGUGAGUAACGCGUGGGAAUCUACCCAACCCUACGGAAUAACCCAGGGAAACUUGGACUAAUACCGUAUACGCCCUUUUGGGGAAAGAUUUAUCGGGGAUGGAUGAGCCCGCGUUGGAUUAGCUAGUUGGUGGGGUAAAGGCCUACCAAGGCGACGAUCCAUAGCUGGUCUGAGAGGAUGAUCAGCCACAUUGGGACUGAGACACGGCCCAAACUCCUCCGGGAGGCAGCAGUGGGGAAUAUUGGAAAAUGGGCGCAAGCCUGAUCCAGCCAUGCCGCGUGAGUGAUGAAGGCCUUAGGGUUGUAAAGCUCUUUCAGUAGGGAAGAUAAUGACGGUACCUACAGAAGAAGCCCCGGCUAACUUCGUG